RNAcentral lists this ribosomal RNA (458 nucleotides) under uncultured Erysipelothrix sp. RNAcentral's name for it is "bacterial SSU rRNA". It matches the Rfam family "Bacterial small subunit ribosomal RNA", at positions 929 to 1382 of the family's 1533-position model. Lineage: Bacteria; Bacillati; Bacillota; Erysipelotrichia; Erysipelotrichales; Erysipelotrichaceae. The record is from RNAcentral.
GCGGUGGAGUAUGUGGUUUAAUUCGACGCAACGCGCAGAACCUUACCUAGACUUGACAUCCCGGGGAUUUUCUGGAAACAGAGAAGUGCUUUAGCAAUAAAGAACCCGGUGACAGGUGCUGCAUGGCUGUCGUCAGCUCGUGUCGUGAGAUGUUGGGUUAAGUCCCGCAACGAGCGCAACCCUCGCCUUUAGUUGCCAGCAUUCAGUUGGGCACUCUAGAGGGACUGCCGGUGUCAAACCGGAGGAAGGUGGGGAUGACGUCAAAUCAUCAUGCCCCUUAUGGCCUGGGCUACAAACGUAAUACAAUGGCGUAUACAAAGGGAUGCGAAAGGGUGACCUGGAGCAAAACUCACAAAGUACGUCUCAGUUCAGAUUGGAGUCUGCAACUCGACUCCAUGAAGGCGGAAUCGCUAGUAAUCGCGGAUCAGCAUGCCGCGGUGAAUACGUUCUCGGGGUUU